AGAACGAACGCUGGCGGCAGGCUUAACACAUGCAAGUCGAACGCCCCGCAAGGGGAGUGGCAGACGGGUGAGUAACGCGUGGGAAUCUACCUGGUUCUACGGAAUAACACAGGGAAACUUGUGCUAAUACCGUAUACGCCCUAUGGGGGAAAGAUUUAUCGGUGCCAGAUGAGCCCGCGUAAGAUUAGCUAGUUGGUGGGGUAAUGGCCUACCAAGGCGACGAUCUUUAGCUGGUCUGAGAGGAUGAUCAGCCACACUGGGACUGAGACACGGCCCAGACUCCUACGGGAGGCAGCAGUGGGGAAUAUUGGACAAUGGGCGAAAGCCUGACGCAGCGACGCCGCGUGGGGGAUGAAGGCCUUCGGGUUGUAACCCCUUUCAGCAGGGACGAAGCGAAAGUGACGGUACCGUGCAGAAGAAGCGCCGGCUAACUACGUGCCAGCAGCCGC
Molecule: ribosomal RNA, 449 nt
Filed under: uncultured bacterium
Lineage: Bacteria
Description: SSU rRNA
Rfam family: Bacterial small subunit ribosomal RNA
Source: RNAcentral